UUCAAUCGGUAACAGAUUUUUUUAAUACAAUAAAACGGAUCCUCCAGAGUCAAUCUUAUCCGGUGUUUAAUGUAGCUUGGUUCUUCACACACUUAUACGAAACAUGAGCUACCUCUUGAUCAUAAACAUGCGAUUGCUUAUGAUUGGAAUAGAGCAUAAAAAAUAACCUUGGGCAAUGAACCACAUGCUGCUUCACAAAGUGUAAAUACAAAGACGCUAUUAUCUGAUGACAUGUAGCAGCCUGCUCUAGUAAAAAUUCCAUUACAGUGGCGUUUAUAGGGCGUCAUUAAUGUCCAUUUCCUCAAUACGUCAUUGCCCUGUGCUUCUUUUGAUUCCAUUUGUCACUGCUGGGUUGUAAUUAGACAUGCUUCUGUCUUGCUGAUGUCUCCAUUUUGUUUUAGUGCCUACACACAUUUCCCAGAGAAUGGAGACACAUGUCUGGGACCCUCGCCCACAAACAAAUGAACUUAGAUUAAUGGACAGACAGCUGAUUGUGAAAUAAUAAAAAAAAAAAAGCAAAAAUGUGGUAAAACAGUGGAUUGAAAUAGACUUUGCCAUAUCCUGCAUCUGCACAAGACAGCUGUUUUAGCUCCUUUAAGUCAAAUUGUAGCUACCCGAUCAGCUGCAAAUGCUGUAAAACAAAAACCAAAUAAAUCUACAAAAAGUAGUUAUGAUCUCUUUUACCAAAACCUUUGCUGCUUGUUGUGACAGAACUCAGUUGUUAUCAACCAGGAAAUUUGUCUGAGUCUUACUGGACUCAGGGCCAAAACAAAUGCUACCAGCUGCUGCCUCCUGCUCGGGCUCACGGGGCGGUGAGCACACACGUAUCGCAUCAUUCUUAAGCCGAUGCGCAUUUCCCGUCCUUGUUUCCCACCGCGUAUGGACAAAGUGCUACAGACACAUGGCGUCACAUGGUUGCAGUUAGCACCAGGCCUUUUCUUGUCUUACAGUCUGUUUUUGUUAGCUCUAAGCAGAUGAGCAAGGGAGAUGUUGGACGAGGGCUACAAGAAGAAUGAUUUGAUUUGAUUUGUGUAGCUUUUCAUGAGUAAUGGAAAUACUAUGGCAGCUCAAAGUCGAACACUUGUACAGUUCAAACUGUUGUUAAGACGAAAACUGGGAUGACAACCGUCACACCAGAAAGUGAACUUGGUUACAGGGUCUGACUGCUCAGUACAUUGUCUGUUGGGAUUCUUCAAAAGGUAGGCUCGCAUGUGAGCUGGAGCCGAUCCCAUCUGAUUUUGGGCUAGAGACGGGGUACACCAGCCAAUCACAGGAGUUAGGAGAGUGAUUCCAGAUGGAGGCAGUCUGUGCUUAAGCAGCAUCAUCACCACUAGUGCUGUGAUUCAAUCCUGUUCCAGUGUUGGCCAACUGUAGAGGUUAUGUUCUGUUGAAGUCUGUUUUUUUAAUGUUGCCAAGUGUGGUCUAUGGAGAUUCGUUACCAAUCAAAGAUGUUAAAAACAAAAGCAGGUGUUUUAUGUAAGAUAUAUUUUGUAUCUUUUCUCCAUUCGUGGAAACUCUAUCGCAAUCAAUAUGCAAUGCAGAGUGUAUUUAACGCUGGGUGGAUUCGAUGACUUUCGAUGGCCAAUAAUGUCUGUGAAUAUGAUAUAAACUAGACCAUCAAUAAGAAAAGCAGGUGCUCGAAUGCAGUUGUCAGGCAAAGCAGGAAGUCUAGUACUUGGUAUAUGGGAGAAUGAUGCGGUUAACUGCAACGCAUUAGUCACCAUUAGAAAAAAAACAUUUUUGACACUGUCAUAUGUUUUAUGGGACAAAUUAUUGGGAGUGAGUGUCAAAUGCUAUGAGGACUUAUGUUGCAUAAAUUAUUCAAAUAUGUUUUAUUAAGACUGUCAGCAGUAUGGUUUACGAGUGGUUAGCAUGACUGCUUCACAGUUCUGCAGUUUAGGGUUCAAAUCUCAGAACCGGCUUGGGCGGGUUUGUGACAGGUGCUCCGGCUUCCUGUCACAUCCUAAAGGUUAAUUGAAUUGUGAAUGUUUUUUUUUUUAUUUAUUUAUUUUGGGUCUACUGUACAUAAAGUACCUAAAGUCCAGGAUGUACCCUGCCCAAAGUCAUCAGGAAUAGGCUCUAGCUCACCCGAGUCCUUCAAGAGUACGAGUGACGCAGAGUGGAGGAAUGGACCGUACUGUGGGGAAUUUAUUUGAGUAUGAGUGAUUUUGUCUUGAAGCAGUUGAGGCAAAAUGGAAUGCAAUAUUUGGCUGCAGCCAGCAGAGGCGCUAUCGACUCAGUUCCAACUAGUUUGUCGUCUGAAGAACAACCUCACGUCCGCUAUGCUAUUUGUGACAUUGUGUUUGAUGUAUACAUGAAACAAUAUUAUCUAUGUAUAAAAGCACAUAUUCCUUGUUACUUUCUGUCGUCUAAAAUGAAUACGAAAAUUACAUAUUUUUGAAUUGUCAUAUACAGUAUUAUAUUAACCUUUAACCAUUCUCAAACAAGGAAAACUUUGCCUGCCUGUUUCUAUGUCUCUGAAACACUCACACAGAAAUAUGUGCUUGAACAGAUCAGAACAGAUUAUUUUAAAAAAAAUUUGUUCCAUAGCAGCAGUUGUGUAUAUAAAUAUAUAAACACUUUACCACUUAUUUCCAAGGACCAAGUUAAUGGUUUAAGCCUUUUCCAAAUGGUUUCCUUGCUACACGUACACACAUUAACGUCAACCUCUCAAACACGCUGCAACGUUUGGAUGGACACCAAAGUGUAGAGACAUAACUCCACUGGACAUAAAUAUCUCAAAUUCGCAUUCAACCGCAUCCAAGUGCCAUCUAAGUGGGAAUCCAAAAGCUAGCACGAUCUGUUUUACUGUGGAUUCACUUCUAUUCCAGUUGGUCACAAUUAGAGUUGAAAAAGCGUUACAUGACUGCUUUUCCAGACUUUAGCUCACCUGUCAGCUUUUGCUUAAAGCGCAUACCAAUAAUUUGAGGGUUAUUGUUUCCCCCUUCCUUCUUAAAGUCAGCAAAAGCCCUGUCGUUGAAUGUUUUUAAAAUACUACCCUGACCAAUUAUACUGUGGUGUGAGGUUUGUGGAGUGAUUUUUUUCCCUCCCCGAGCUGCUUUAAAAUGCACUUAUGCUAAUGAUUGACAUGUGAGACCCCCCCCACAAUGGUUGUACGGAGAGUGCCUGAAAUGAUGGCCAAUUGCGAAACAGUCACAGUUUGGAGGAAGGCUGUUCGUAGAUUUCAAAAAGUGGAAACAGGAAAUACUGCAGCUGUUUCUCAACAGGCAACAGUUUCUAAUCCUUUUUUUUUUUCAUAUUCAGUAACCUUAUGUGAAGUCUGUGAACUUAUGCUUCAUAAAUAAAAAAUAUAACCAUGUUAUCACUUAACAGCACUUGAAACCAAUCCAGCCUGAGGUUGUUGGUCCAUUUCUUCCCAGCAUGUGCGGUGUCAGCGUGGUGAUCCGUGUCAGCAAGAACAGGCUAAGGAAACACAUUCCUGCAAGCCAACCAUAUGUAGAGGAAGAGCAGUGGGUGGCAGUGACGUAAAAAACCGCUCAAAGAACAGACUAUUUCCCAAGUAUCCUGCAUCACAUUCCUGGAGAGGCUACACGUAAUCUCGACCAUCAUUUAGCUGUGGGACACACACUGAGGGCUGUUUAAUUCAGAACAGAUACAACCAUAGCUGAUCCUUUUUGUGGAUGAUUUCCCAAAUUUGGGUGUCUGGUAUUGCAAAAAAAGCUUUUUAUUCUUAACCCUCAGGCGCAAUCUAGACAAUGUACAAGUGCUAAUGACUGAAGUUCAACAUACACUGGAACCUCCAAUGUCGAACUUCCCUAAAGUAGUACAAUUCCUAAUUUUCAUGCAGGCAACGUGGCUUCAGUUCCCACUCAAUGACAACGUGAGUGCAAAUGGUUGUCUGUUUGUGUAGGUACCCUGCUGUGAUUGACUGGUGAGCAGUCCAGAGUGUUGUCUACCUUUGGCCCCAAAUCUGUUGGGAUAGGCUCCAGCUCACCUGUGACCCUACUGAGGAAACUGAAUGUUGCGUAAAAGUCAAGUGUCAAAAGUUACAAAAAAAUAAAAAAUAAAAGUACCUCGGAGUGGACUGGUCAUCAA
Phyllopteryx taeniolatus (common seadragon) is the source of this 4056-nucleotide long non-coding RNA. RefSeq lists it as uncharacterized. The record is from RefSeq and is a predicted model, not a curated record. The transcript has 4 exons. Lineage: Eukaryota; Metazoa; Chordata; Actinopteri; Syngnathiformes; Syngnathidae.